Molecule: RNA transcript, 1197 nt
Organism: Prionailurus viverrinus (fishing cat)
Lineage: Eukaryota; Metazoa; Chordata; Mammalia; Carnivora; Felidae
Gene: B3GAT2
Gene name: beta-1,3-glucuronyltransferase 2
Exons: 5
Source: RefSeq, a predicted model, not a curated record
AUGAAGUCCGUUCUGUUCAGCCGCUUCUUCAUCCUCCUGCCUUGGAUCCUAAUCGUCAUCAUCAUGCUCGACGUGGACACGCGCAGGCCGGCGCCCCCGCUCACCCCGCGCCCCUACUUUUCUCCCUACGUGAUGGGCCGCGGGGGCGCCCGACUGCCGCUCCGCAGGGUUGGUCCCGACAGCGGCCCCGGGCGCCGCUGGGUGAAGCGCAACGAGUCGCGGCCACAGCCACAGCCGCGGCCGGAGCCGCCUCUGCCCACCAUCUAUGCCAUCACGCCCACCUACAGCCGCCCGGUGCAGAAAGCCGAGCUGACCCGCCUGGCCAACACUUUCCGCCAGGUGGCGCAGCUGCACUGGAUCCUGGUGGAGGACGCGGCGGCGCGCAGCGAGCUGGUGAGCCGCUUCCUGGCGCGGGCCGGGCUGCCCAGCACGCACCUGCACGUGCCCACGCCGCGGCGCUACAAGAGGCCGGGACUGCCGCGCGCCACGGAGCAGCGCAACGCGGGUCUCGCCUGGUUGCGCCAGAGGCACCAGCACCAGCGCGCGCAGCCCGGCGUGCUCUUUUUCGCCGACGACGACAACACCUACAGUCUGGAGCUGUUCCAGGAGAUGCGAACUACACGCAAGGUCUCUGUCUGGCCAGUGGGCCUGGUUGGCGGGCGACGCUAUGAACGUCCGUUGGUGGAAAACGGCAAAGUCGUUGGUUGGUACACCGGCUGGAGAGCAGACAGGCCUUUUGCCAUCGACAUGGCAGGAUUUGCUGUCAGUCUUCAAGUCAUCUUGUCCAAUCCAAAAGCCGUAUUUAAGCGUCGUGGAUCCCAGCCAGGGAUGCAAGAAUCUGAUUUUCUAAAACAGAUAACAACAGUUGAAGAGCUGGAACCAAAAGCAAAUAACUGCACCAAGGUUCUCGUGUGGCACACUCGGACAGAGAAGGUUAAUCUAGCCAACGAGCCAAAGUACCACCUGGACACGGUGAAAAUUGAGGUGUAAAUUGAAGAAACUGAAGCAGCAACUGGUGCAGUUUGCCUGGCUGGUGGACGUGGGAGAGGACGUUUGGAGGUCAGGCUGCCAAACAUUCAGUUCUUUGUACAGUACAGCUAGUGACACUGCGGGAUACACUGUGAGUAUCUUGUGUACUUUUUUUUUUUUUUUUCCCAUUUGGCCUUAUAAUUGGUGGAACUGGUUUCAGAAACAAAG